GACGAACGCUGGCGGCGUGCUUAACACAUGCAAGUCGAACGGAAGGGCCCUGCUUUUGUGGGGUGCUCGAGUGGCGAACGGGUGAGUAACACGUGAGUAACCUGCCCUUGACUUUGGGAUAACUUCAGGAAACUGGGGCUAAUACCGGAUAGGAGCUCCUGCUGCAUGGUGGGGGUUGGAAAGUUUCGGCGGUUGGGGAUGGACUCGCGGCUUAUCAGCUUGUUGGUGGGGUAGUGGCUUACCAAGGCUUUGACGGGUAGCCGGCCUGAGAGGGUGACCGGCCACAUUGGGACUGAGAUACGGCCCAGACUCCAACGGGACGCAGCAGUGGGGAAUAUUGCACAAUGGGCGGAAGCCUGAUGCAGCAACGCCGCGUGCGGGAUGACGGCCUUCGGGUUGUAAACCGCUUUCGCCUGUGACGAAGCGUGAGUGACGGUAAUGGGUAAAGAAGCACCGGCUAACUACGUG
RNAcentral lists this ribosomal RNA (468 nucleotides) under uncultured bacterium. RNAcentral's name for it is "partial 16S ribosomal RNA". It matches the Rfam family "Bacterial small subunit ribosomal RNA", at positions 28 to 507 of the family's 1533-position model. The record is from RNAcentral.